UACGUAGGGGGCUAGCGUUGUCCGGAAUUAUUGGGCGUAAAGAGCUCGUAGGCGGUCUGUUGCGUCGGCUGUGAAAACCCGGGGCUCAACUCCGGGCCUGCAGCCGAUACGGGCAGACUAGAGUUCGGCAGGGGAGACUGGAAUUCCUGGUGUAGCGGUGAAAUGCGCAGAUAUCAGGAGGAACACCGGUGGCGAAGGCGGGUCUCUGGGCAGUAACUGACGCUGAGGAGCGAAAGCGUGGGGAGCGAACAGG
RNAcentral lists this ribosomal RNA (253 nucleotides) under uncultured bacterium. RNAcentral's name for it is "partial 16S ribosomal RNA". It matches the Rfam family "Bacterial small subunit ribosomal RNA", at positions 524 to 776 of the family's 1533-position model. The record is from RNAcentral.